GCAUUGGUGGUUCAGUAGUAAAAUUCCUGCCUUCCAUGCAGGAGGCCUGGGUUCGAGUUCUGGCCAAUGGA
RNAcentral lists this transfer RNA (71 nucleotides) under Loxodonta africana (African savanna elephant). It matches the Rfam family "tRNA". From Rfam's summary of the family: Transfer RNA (tRNA) molecules are approximately 80 nucleotides in length. Lineage: Eukaryota; Metazoa; Chordata; Mammalia; Proboscidea; Elephantidae. The record is from Rfam by way of RNAcentral.